CCCUUAGAUGUUCUGGGCCGCACGCGCGCUACACUGAUGCAUUCAACGAGCCUAUCCUUGACCGACAGGUCCGGGUAAUCUUUGAAUCUGCAUCGUGACGGGGAUAGAUUAUUGCAAUUAUUAAUCUUCAACGAGGAAUGCCUAGUAGGCGCAAGUCAUCAGCUUGCGUCGAUUACGUCCCUGCCCUUUGUACACACCGCCCGUCGCUCCUACCGAUUGAGUGCUCCGGUGAACAAUUUGGACUGCUUUGAUUCGAUUAGAAUUUGAAGCGGAAAGUUUAGUGAACCUUAUCACUUAGAGGAAGGAGAAGUCGUAACA
RNAcentral lists this ribosomal RNA (318 nucleotides) under uncultured eukaryote. RNAcentral's name for it is "partial 18S ribosomal RNA". It matches the Rfam family "Eukaryotic small subunit ribosomal RNA", at positions 1470 to 1796 of the family's 1831-position model. The record is from RNAcentral.